RNAcentral lists this ribosomal RNA (301 nucleotides) under uncultured bacterium. RNAcentral's name for it is "partial 16S ribosomal RNA". It matches the Rfam family "Bacterial small subunit ribosomal RNA", at positions 509 to 807 of the family's 1533-position model. The record is from RNAcentral.
CAGUCGCCACGGUAAUACAGAGGGUGCGAGCGUUAAUCGGAUUUACUGGGCGUAAAGCGUGCGUAGGCGGCUUCUUAAGUCGGAUGUGAAAUCCCUGAGCUUAACUUAGGAAUUGCAUUCGAUACUGGGAAGCUAGAGUAUGGGAGAGGAUGGUAGAAUUCCAGGUGUAGCGGUAAAAUGCGUAGAGAUCUGGAGGAAUACCGAUGGCGAAGGCAGCCAUCUGGCCUAAUACUGACGCUGAGGUACGAAAGCAUGGGGAGCAAACAGGAUUAGAUACCCCUGUAGUCCCUGUCUCUUAUAC